GGCCCGUUAGUCAAGUGGUUAAGACACCGCCCUUUCACGGCGGUAACGCCGGUUCGAUCCCGGCACGGGCUACCA
This 75-nucleotide transfer RNA is filed under the name Faecalibacterium prausnitzii. RNAcentral's name for it is "tRNA-Glu". It matches the Rfam family "tRNA". Rfam says of the family: Transfer RNA (tRNA) molecules are approximately 80 nucleotides in length. Their secondary structure includes four short double-helical elements and three loops (D, anti-codon, and T loops). Lineage: Bacteria; Bacillati; Bacillota; Clostridia; Eubacteriales; Oscillospiraceae. The record is from RNAcentral. RNAcentral also lists the same sequence under 6 other names.